Molecule: long non-coding RNA, 418 nt
Organism: Phyllopteryx taeniolatus (common seadragon)
Lineage: Eukaryota; Metazoa; Chordata; Actinopteri; Syngnathiformes; Syngnathidae
Exons: 3
Source: RefSeq, a predicted model, not a curated record
UUGUCUUACCUAGAAACCCCGAGAAACCAUUAAUGAAGGAAGCAGACGCAGAAGCAGAAGUGAUUCUGGUGACAAAUGCUUUAUAACCAAGUGGAUACAGAGUCUACAAGAUUGUUUUGGACUAUUUGUAACCGUAGGAAAACCCUGCUGCUGUGGAAUACAAAGUCAUCUCGCAAGCCUGGUUGUCCUUUGUCUAAGCUGCUGUGGUGUGGCAAGCUACAUUCACCCUAGCUGUCCAUCUACUAAGGAUUCUCGAUGCCAGCUUCGGCGGGUCCGACCAUGCCAGGCGCACACUUGAUGCCGAUGCUGACAUCACCUGGGGCGAGGGGCACAAGCGGCCAGACGUCACUCCCUCGUUGCCGUGAAGACCAAGGAGGAGGAAAAAGUGGUGCCUCACCUUGUCCUGCCUUGCCGCAGU